RNAcentral lists this ribosomal RNA (497 nucleotides) under uncultured bacterium. RNAcentral describes it as "partial 16S ribosomal RNA". It matches the Rfam family "Bacterial small subunit ribosomal RNA", at positions 28 to 507 of the family's 1533-position model. The record is from RNAcentral.
GAUGAACGCUGGCGGCGUGCCUAAUACAUGCAAGUCGAGCGAACAGACGAGGAGCUUGCUCCUCUGACGUUAGCGGCGGACGGGUGAGUAACACGUGGAUAACCUACCUAUAAGACUGGGAUAACUUCGGGAAACCGGAGCUAAUACCGGAUAAUAUAUUGAACCGCAUGGUUCAAUAGUGAAAGACGGUUUUGCUGUCACUUAUAGAUGGAUCCGCGCCGCAUUAGCUAGUUGGUAAGUUAACGGCUUAUCAAGGCAACGAUGCGUAGCCGACCUGAGAGGGUGAUCGGCCACACUGGAACUGAGACACGGUCCAGACUCCUACGGGAGGCAGCAGUAGGGAAUCUUCCGCAAUGGGCGAAAGCUUGACGGAGCAACGCCGCGUGAGUGAUGAAGGUCUUCGGAUCGUAAAACUCUGUUAUUAGGGAAGAACAAAUGUGUAAGUAACUAUGCACGUCUUGACGGUACCUAAUCAGAAAGCCACGGCUAACUACGUG